RNAcentral lists this transfer RNA (73 nucleotides) under Araneus ventricosus. It matches the Rfam family "tRNA". Rfam says of the family: Transfer RNA (tRNA) molecules are approximately 80 nucleotides in length. The record is from Rfam by way of RNAcentral. Lineage: Eukaryota; Metazoa; Arthropoda; Arachnida; Araneae; Araneidae.
GUCACCAUAGCUCAGUGGUUAGAUCGCUGGUCUUGUAAACCAGGGUUCGUGAGUUCAAUCCUUUCUGGUGGCU